This 520-nucleotide ribosomal RNA is filed under the name uncultured Glomus. RNAcentral's name for it is "SSU rRNA". It matches the Rfam family "Eukaryotic small subunit ribosomal RNA", at positions 569 to 1092 of the family's 1831-position model. Lineage: Eukaryota; Fungi; Glomeromycota; Glomeromycetes; Glomerales; Glomeraceae. The record is from RNAcentral.
AGCAGCCGCGGUAAUUCCAGCUCCAAUAGCGUAUAUUAAAGUUGUUGCAGUUAAAAAGCUCGUAGUUGAAUUUCGGGAUCAGUCGAUCGGUCGUGCCUCGGUACGUACUGGUCAAAUUGAUUCCUACCUUCUGACGAACCACGAUGUCAUUAAUUUGGUGUCGUGGGAAAUCAGGACUGUUACUUUGAAAAAAUUAGAGUGUUUAAAGCAGGCUCGCGCUUGAAUACAUUAGCAUGGAAUAAUGAAAUAGGACGUUUGAUUCUAUUUUGUUGGUUUCUAGGAUCGACGUAAUGAUUAAUAGGGAUAGUUGGGGGCAUUAGUAUUCAAUUGUCAGAGGUGAAAUUCUUGGAUUUAUUGAAGACUAACUACUGCGAAAGCAUUUGCCAAGGAUGUUUUCAUUAAUCAAGAACGAAAGUUAGGGGAUCGAAGACGAUCAGAUACCGUCGUAGUCUUAACCAUAAACUAUGCCGACUAGGGAUCGGAUGAUGUUAAUUUUUAAUGACUCAUUCGGCGCCUUAAC